This 1314-nucleotide ribosomal RNA is filed under the name metagenome. RNAcentral describes it as "bacterial LSU rRNA". It matches the Rfam family "Bacterial large subunit ribosomal RNA", at positions 1079 to 2365 of the family's 2925-position model. The record is from RNAcentral.
GAUCGCUCAGACAGCCAGGAGGUUGGCUUAGAAGCAGCCAUCCUUUAAAGAGUGCGUAAUAGCUCACUGGUCGAGCGAUUUUGCGCCGAAAAUGUAACGGGGCUCAAGUUCACAACCGAAGCUACGGACUUGCAUCGCAAGGUGUGAGUGGUAGGGGAGCAUUCUCUGUGCGGUGAAGGUUGACCGACAAGGACAACUGGAGCGCAGAGAAGAGAUUAUUCAGGCAUAAGUAGCGAUAAACGAUGUGAGAGUCAUCGUCCCCGUAAGCCUAAGGUUUCCUGGCCUAUGUUCGUCAGGUCAGGGUGAGUCGGAUCCUAAGCCGAGGUCGACAGACGUAGGCGAUGGCAAACAGGUCAAUAUUCCUGUACCACCGUAUUGACGUUAUCAGCGAAGGGGGGACGCAGAAGGGUAGGCACCGCCGGGUCCCUGGAAUACCCGGUCCAAGCAGGUAGGCGGGGGUUGUAGGCAAAUCCGCAAUCCCGUUAACGCCGAGAUGUGAUGGGGAGGCCGCAAGGCCAUAAACGGGCUGAUCCCACGCUGCCGAGAAAAGCCUCGUAGCGAGUCAAUAUGAUGUCCGUACCGCAAACCGACACAGGUAGGUGGGUGGAAUACACCAAGGGGCGUGAGAGAACACUCCCUAAGGAACUAUGCAAUUUAGCCCCGUAACUUCGGGAGAAGGGGUGCCACGAGUAGGUAAGUCUGUACAAGGCAAGCUGAACGUGGUUGCAAUAAAGUGGCUCUAGCGACUGUUUACCAAAAACACAGGACUCUGCAAACACGAUAGUGGAUGUAUAGGGUCUGACGCCUGCCCGGUGCUGGAAGGUUAACCGGAGGAGUUAGCCGCAAGGCAAAGCUUUGAAGGGAAGCCCCAGUAAACGGCGGCCGUAACUAUAACGGUCCUAAGGUAGCGAAAUUCCUUGUCGGGUAAGUUCCGACCUGCAUGAAUGGCGUAACGACUGGAGCGCUGUCUCAGGGAGUGACUCAGCGAAUUUGUUGUUCCGGUGAAGAAGCCGGGUGCCCGCAACUAGACGGAAAGACCCUGUGCACCUUUACUACACCUUGACAUUGGGUGUUGGAAGGAUCUGUGUAGGAUAGGUGGGAGGCUGUGAGACUUGGCCGCUAGGUCAGGUGGAGCCGACGUUGAAAUACCACCCUGAUUGUUCUGAUAUUCUAACCUGGCCCUGUGAUCCAGGGCAGAGACAGUGUCUGGCGGGUAGUUUGACUGGGGCGGUCGCCUCCCAAAAGGUAACGGAGGCGCCCAAAGGUUCCCUCAGGCUGGUCGGUAAUCAGCCGUCGAGUGUAAAGGCAGAAGGG